Non-coding RNA from Acanthosepion pharaonis, 99 nucleotides. Lineage: Eukaryota; Metazoa; Mollusca; Cephalopoda; Sepiida; Sepiidae. The record is from the annotation of a GenBank genome assembly.
AUUGAAACACUGGUUCCUGUAAAAUCACCGAAGUUAAGCAAUGUCAAGACUGCUCAGUACUUAGAUGGGUGACCACCUGCGAAUACCAGGUGCUGUAAG